AUUGAACGCUGGCGGCAUGCUUUACACAUGCAAGUCGAACGGUAACAGGCCUUCGGGUGCUGACGAGUGGCGAACGGGUGAGUAAUGCAUCGGAACGUACCCAGAGGUGGGGGAUAACGCAGCGAAAGCUGUGCUAAUACCGCAUGUGAUCUGAGGAUGAAAGCGGGGGACCAAGCAGCAAUGUUUGGCCUCGCGCCUUUGGAGCGGCCGAUGUCGGAUUAGCUAGUUGGUGGGGUAAAGGCCUACCAAGGCGACAAUCCGUAGCUGGUCUGAGAGGACGACCAGCCACACUGGGACUGAGACACGGCCCAGACUCCUACGGGAGGCAGCAGUGGGGAAUUUUGGACAAUGGGCGCAAGCCUGAUCCAGCAAUGCCGCGUGCGGGAAGAAGGCCUUCGGGUUGUAAACCGCUUUUGGCAGGAACGAAACGGUGUCCGCUAAUACCGGGCGCUAAUGACGGUACCUGCAGAAUAAGCACCGGCUAACUACGUG
Molecule: ribosomal RNA, 492 nt
Filed under: uncultured bacterium
Lineage: Bacteria
Description: partial 16S ribosomal RNA
Rfam family: Bacterial small subunit ribosomal RNA
Source: RNAcentral